RNAcentral lists this non-coding RNA (170 nucleotides) under uncultured Eubacterium sp. Lineage: Bacteria; Bacillati; Bacillota; Clostridia; Eubacteriales; Eubacteriaceae. The record is from RNAcentral.
ACAGGUGCCUGUGUUUCAUUCCACAGGAUAAUAGGGAAGAGGGGUGCGAUUCCCCCGCGGUCACGCCGCUGUAUACGCUGAGCCUGCUCUCCAUUUGCCACUGGAUCUUUUCGAUCCGGGAAGGCGCAGAGCAGGCGGUGAAGCCAAGCCAGAAGACCUGCCUGAACGUA